GCUAGGAGGAGGAGCUGCUCCAGAGUGGAGAAGGCUGUGGCAUCAGCCAGAUCAGAAUUUGCUGUGUCACUCUUGAAUUGCAUUGCCCAGACACAGAGUUAAGAGUGUCUCAUGAUGAUAACAACAAGGGUGAAGGAGAAUUCCUCCAAGGGCCACAUAAAAUAAUCCAAUCCUGCAGUGCCCGUGCUAUGGGGUCCUGAAGAGAAGCAAAACACCACAAAAACUCACAGCCUGGCCUUGCAGACAGCCUCAGCUUCAGGUCCAGGUGGAGGACAAGGAAGGAAGAAGAAAACCAACAGAGGGAUGGAAGUGGGGUAAAAGGUUCAUGGAAAAACUCGAAGGUAAUUUUUAUACACAGCCCAUGGAAGUUUCCUAGAGUGGAAGUUUUCUACCCACUUUUCCCUAAAAUGGAUCACUGGUUUUGCUAAUCAUCCCUCCAAAUUAUCCAAAUACCAGGAGAAUUGCCUAUGUUAGUUUUGCAUCUCUGCAGCAAAGGCUGUCAAAUUGUCACGGGGUCUCUUUUAUGGGUUAUGGAUAAGGGAUGAGCAUGCAAUCAGAGGAUGCUACCUUGAGCAUUCUCUCAAGCAAAUUCCUUGGGGUCAGGACAUCACAGACAUGCU
RNAcentral lists this long non-coding RNA (620 nucleotides) under Cricetulus griseus (Chinese hamster). RNAcentral describes it as "lncRNA (ENSCGRG00000025333.1)". The record is from RNAcentral. Lineage: Eukaryota; Metazoa; Chordata; Mammalia; Rodentia; Cricetidae.